This 443-nucleotide ribosomal RNA is filed under the name uncultured bacterium. RNAcentral's name for it is "SSU rRNA". It matches the Rfam family "Bacterial small subunit ribosomal RNA", at positions 26 to 518 of the family's 1533-position model. The record is from RNAcentral.
AGAACGAACGCUGGCGGCAGGCUUAACACAUGCAAGUCGAGCGCCCCGCAAGGGGAGCGGCAGACGGGUGAGUAACGCGUGGGAACAUACCCUCCGGUUCGGAAUAGCUCAGGGAAACUUGGAUUAAUACCGGAUACGGCCUAGCGGCGAAAGAUUCAUCGCCGGAGGAUUGGCCCGCGUCUGAUUAGCUAGUUGGUGGGGUAAUGGCCCACCAAGGCGACGAUCAGUAGCUGGUCUGAGAGGAUGAUCAGCCACAUUGGGACUGAGACACGGCCCAAACUCCUACGGGAGGCAGCAGUGGGGAAUAUUGGACAAUGGGCGCAAGCCUGAUCCAGCCAUGCCGCGUGAGUGAUGACGGCCUUAGGGUUGUAAAGCUCUUUCGCCCGCGACGAUGAUGACGGUAGCGGGAGAAGAAGCCCGGCUAACUUCGCGCCAGCAGCCGC